CUCCCCGCGUACCAAUCUCGGCUGCAAACCGAGUAGAUCAAGGCGACGGAGCCGACUGUUCCCGAGAUGGUCAGCAGCAACCGGUAUCCCAGCUCGUCGCCCCUCAUCUUGCCGCCGGCUCUGCACCGAGUGACUCAUAUUUUAAAUUGCCCGAUAUAUAUACCAUGUAGCUGCAACUUACUUAAAUAAACGAGUUCGGUAUUCCGACUGCGCAUGCCCAGGUCAUAGGUCACUCGCCAUAAACAUUGUUGGUGGCUGAGCAGCUGAACCUUCGUUUCAUCCGUAUUUUCCAGCUUUGAUUUGUCCAGGUAAAUGCUUCAUUCCAUGACUGGUGGGCCUCCAAGGUUUGGGAUGAGCCCGUUCUCGUUCAGCUUGCUCCUUUACUCUGCAGUCUUUGUGCUCUGGUGACAAGAUGCAGACAAAACAGUGAAGAAUUGUUAGGUUCAAACUCACAUUUUAACAACAGCAGCUUGCACUGCUCUGUAACUGAGUGGAAUGAAUACCUGAACUCUCAGUGUUGUGCUCUGAAUUUGCACGACAGGCACGACAUUUUGGAAUGGAAUUAAGUUUUGAAUUCAGUUUUAACAGUGUUUAUUUGAAAAGUCACUACUUCAAUCCAGUCUUUUUCAACAAGCUGAUAUACGUACAAGUCGUUGGGGGAAAUAAUGACUUUAUCUGAAAAUUAUCAAAGGUUUAAAUGAAACCAUUUCUCACCAUUUAUUUUUUAAGCUAUUGGGGGGAUUUUCAACCCCAAUCACACAUCUCUUGCUUGGAAAACAAGGGGUUGGAAAUUUAAAAUAUGAGUGAGGCAGGGUGAGGCACGGAGGGCUGGGGAGAAGGGCAUUGCAAACAUGUGGUCAGAAGGGCAAUUAGGGAUGGCCAAUAACUAACUACUGGUCCCGCUACCAAUGCUCGUAUGCCAAAAAAAAUGAAAUUAAAAAGCAAGGUUGUUGACCGUCAUUUUUACUGCUGUUGCAUUUUGUGGGAUCUUCCUGAGUAUGCUCUGUCCCGAAUCCACAAUACCCUGACAUUUACAUUUCUCAUAUUGCUAUUUACUGUUAUCUCUCAAAUUCAAGCUUUUACUUCUUGUUAAAAUAAUUCCCUUACUAUUUCCUACUCCAGCUAAUAAAACACAUUUUAUUAACUGCAGUAGGAAACAGCAAGGAAAAUGUUUUUAUGACUUCUUGGCAGUAGACUCUAAAAGGAUCCUAAUCUUACGAGUAAAUCUGAGGUAAAUGGAGGAAGGAGCAACUAACAGUCAUGACAGGUAAACUGGGAGCCAAAUUAAUGAGAUUAAAAGCUUAGAUCAGUUACUUUAAAAAUAUAUCAGGUCAUGGUGGUUUGUGACUUCAUAUGAUUUACCAAGAGACUUGAGUGGUUUUGUAAAAGGAUUUUCCUUUGGUAUAGAUUUACUUCUGUAUAGAUUUAAUUAUAAGUAGACUGCAUCCUAUUUGUGAUUAUAAUAAAUAAAACAGUGGGAUCUUUACGUUAUAUAAAGCUCCAUUUAUUCACACCAACUAAUUCUAGUUUGUAAUUCUA
Molecule: long non-coding RNA, 1539 nt
Organism: Leucoraja erinaceus (little skate)
Lineage: Eukaryota; Metazoa; Chordata; Chondrichthyes; Rajiformes; Rajidae
Exons: 3
Source: RefSeq, a predicted model, not a curated record